RNAcentral lists this unclassified non-coding RNA (344 nucleotides) under soil metagenome. Its description in RNAcentral is "partial contains 5.8S ribosomal RNA, internal transcribed spacer 2, and large subunit ribosomal RNA". The stretch from base 1 to 120 matches the Rfam family "5.8S ribosomal RNA", at positions 35 to 154 of the family's 154-position model. The record is from RNAcentral.
GAUGAAGAACGUAGCGAAAUGCGAUAGUAAUGCGAAUUGCAGAAUUUCCGUGAGUCAUCGAAUCUUUGAACGCACAUUGCGCCCACUGGUAUUCCGGUGGGCAUGCCUGUUCGAGCGUCAUUAUCCUCCCUCAAACCCCGGGUUUGGUGUUGGACCCAAGUUGUGUGAACAACUGGUCUCAAAGACAAUGACGGCGUCCGUGGGACCCUCGGUGCAACGAGCUUUUAGGAGCACGCAUCGAGUUGCAAGGACCUUCCGGGCCGGUCUCCUUUACCAUUUUACAAGGUUGACCUCGGAUCAGGUAGGAAUACCCGCUGAACUUAAGCAUAUCAAUAAGCGGAGGA